RNAcentral lists this ribosomal RNA (1741 nucleotides) under Escherichia coli. Its description in RNAcentral is "partial 23S ribosomal RNA". It matches the Rfam family "Bacterial large subunit ribosomal RNA", at positions 419 to 2145 of the family's 2925-position model. Lineage: Bacteria; Pseudomonadati; Pseudomonadota; Gammaproteobacteria; Enterobacterales; Enterobacteriaceae. The record is from RNAcentral.
GGGACACGUGGUAUCCUGUCUGAAUAUGGGGGGACCAUCCUCCAAGGCUAAAUACUCCUGACUGACCGAUAGUGAACCAGUACCGUGAGGGAAAGGCGAAAAGAACCCCGGCGAGGGGAGUGAAAAAGAACCUGAAACCGUGUACGUACAAGCAGUGGGAGCACGCUUAGGCGUGUGACUGCGUACCUUUUGUAUAAUGGGUCAGCGACUUAUAUUCUGUAGCAAGGUUAACCGAAUAGGGGAGCCGAAGGGAAACCGAGUCUUAACUGGGCGUUAAGUUGCAGGGUAUAGACCCGAAACCCGGUGAUCUAGCCAUGGGCAGGUUGAAGGUUGGGUAACACUAACUGGAGGACCGAACCGACUAAUGUUGAAAAAUUAGCGGAUGACUUGUGGCUGGGGGUGAAAGGCCAAUCAAACCGGGAGAUAGCUGGUUCUCCCCGAAAGCUAUUUAGGUAGCGCCUCGUGAAUUCAUCUCCGGGGGUAGAGCACUGUUUCGGCAAGGGGGUCAUCCCGACUUACCAACCCGAUGCAAACUGCGAAUACCGGAGAAUGUUAUCACGGGAGACACACGGCGGGUGCUAACGUCCGUCGUGAAGAGGGAAACAACCCAGACCGCCAGCUAAGGUCCCAAAGUCAUGGUUAAGUGGGAAACGAUGUGGGAAGGCCCAGACAGCCAGGAUGUUGGCUUAGAAGCAGCCAUCAUUUAAAGAAAGCGUAAUAGCUCACUGGUCGAGUCGGCCUGCGCGGAAGAUGUAACGGGGCUAAACCAUGCACCGAAGCUGCGGCAGCGACGCUGAUGCGUUGUUGGGUAGGGGAGCGUUCUGUAAGCCUGCGAAGGUGUGCUGUGAGGCAUGCUGGAGGUAUCAGAAGUGCGAAUGCUGACAUAAGUAACGAUAAAGCGGGUGAAAAGCCCGCUCGCCGGAAGACCAAGGGUUCCUGUCCAACGUUAAUCGGGGCAGGGUGAGUCGACCCCUAAGGCGAGGCCGAAAGGCGUAGUCGAUGGGAAACAGGUUAAUAUUCCUGUACUUGGUGUUACUGCGAAGGGGGGACGGAGAAGGCUAUGUUGGCCGGGCGACGGUUGUCCCGGUUUAAGCGUGUAGGCUGGUUUUCCAGGCAAAUCCGGAAAAUCAAGGCUGAGGCGUGAUGACGAGGCACUACGGUGCUGAAGCAACAAAUGCCCUGCUUCCAGGAAAAGCCUCUAAGCAUCAGGUAACAUCAAAUCGUACCCCAAACCGACACAGGUGGUCAGGUAGAGAAUACCAAGGCGCUUGAGAGAACUCGGGUGAAGGAACUAGGCAAAAUGGUGCCGUAACUUCGGGAGAAGGCACGCUGAUAUGUAGGUGAAGUCCCUUGCGGAUGGAGCUGAAAUCAGUCGAAGAUACCAGCUGGCUGCAACUGUUUAUUAAAAACACAGCACUGUGCAAACACGAAAGUGGACGUAUACGGUGUGACGCCUGCCCGGUGCCGGAAGGUUAAUUGAUGGGGUCAGCGCAAGCGAAGCUCUUGAUCGAAGCCCCGGUAAACGGCGGCCGUAACUAUAACGGUCCUAAGGUAGCGAAAUUCCUUGUCGGGUAAGUUCCGACCUGCACGAAUGGCGUAAUGAUGGCCAGGCUGUCUCCACCCGAGACUCAGUGAAAUUGAACUCGCUGUGAAGAUGCAGUGUACCCGCGGCAAGACGGAAAGACCCCGUGAACCUUUACUAUAGCUUGACACUGAACAUUGAGCCUUGAUGUGUAGGAUA